This 3092-nucleotide long non-coding RNA is filed under the name Saimiri boliviensis boliviensis (Bolivian squirrel monkey). RNAcentral's name for it is "lncRNA (ENSSBOG00000036702.1)". The record is from RNAcentral. Lineage: Eukaryota; Metazoa; Chordata; Mammalia; Primates; Cebidae.
UUUGUAGGAAAAAAAAAGUGAACUUUUCAUGGCAAACUCUAGAACACCACAGCUGGCAAUGACCAAACUAAGGUAGAAUCAAGGAGAGGCAGAUCAUAGCAUGUGGUCUCUUGAUUCCUGAAAUGGAAGAUCAGGUGAGAAUUCUCCACCUCCUGCAUCAGGUGCCCACCUAGCCUCAGCUGAGGAGGAAGAGAGCGGACUGGAGAUCUGAACAAGGGAGCUCACUACCCACAUGGCUACCAUCUUGAAGCCAGACACUGACAGGGAGUCCAUUUUAUCUCUGCACAAAAUUCACUUUAGCCUGUUGCCAGACUCCCUCUGGGGCAGUAAAUGCAGAAAGGAGAAGCUGAGGGACUCCUGGAUGAGCCAUCCCCAGAGAGCUUCUUUCAACUGAAUCUAACAUGGGCUGGCACUACAGGGCUCCCAGGAACCAGACUCUACUGCCUACAUAAAGCCCAUAUGCCAACAUGUUGCCUUCUUUCAGCAAAGAUGAUCGGUUCUCGGAAAUCAGGAAUGUCAGAGGUAACUGAUAAAAACAGCAGGCUCUUUUGCCUCCAUGUGCGUGUUUCACCUGGAAAUUAAUCGGCUACUUUGUCCCUUGGCAGGUGUAACUACAGUUUUAGAUCCUUACCGUGAUACAAUGUCCUUUACACUAACACUCCAUAAAUUACUCUUUCUUUUCAUCAUAAUAGAUGAGAUCAGGUUAAAAUGACAUUUCGAGUAAGGAAAACAAUCACACAAAACACGCCCCUUAAGUUGUUCUGCUGUGAGGAAGGACCUUCCUAUUCAUGUGGUUUGGGAUGAAUUUCAAAAUCCCACUCGUGCUUAUUCUGCUCUGCACUUUAUGUAUUCUGGAGACAAAGGAGAAUGAAAUUCUUGGAAAAAACUUUUUGAAAUCCCACUACAGGUAGCUGGUGGAUCACAGUGCUAGAAAUACCAGCAAAAGUAAUAUGUUGAUUCAUAAUGAUUUAUUCUCUGUAAUCUUGGGGGCCUAUUCUAUUAUCUCAAACCCCAAGAAAGGAACAGAAGAAGUUAGUUAUAAGUAGGAGGAAUUCCCAUACUCAUUACAUCUGCCCACAGCGUUCAGCUGUAUUUAUCAGGAUAACUUUGCUAGGUGAAACUGUGCAAUCAAACAGGAACACAGCUUUGGAGGCAAUUAAGGCAGGAGACCAGGUAAAAAUAAAGCUUUAGAAAGAAACACCAGAUAUUGAAUGCCUACUUUCAAACUGGUAGGGUAUUCUUUUUGAAAAAAAGGCACAUGUUUUUGAAAAAAAAGUAUGUAUAUGUGUUCAUGAGUGUGUCUUCCUCAAGGUAAAUGAAUAUCACUGUAGACGGAUAGAUUCCUACUUUAUAACCCCCAGUGAAUAUUAGUCAGACAGGCUGUAUUCAAGUGAAACAGUAUAAACACAGUAUUGUGGUUGGGGUUGAUUUAUAGGGAGGCAAAGGUGGUUGAUGGUUUUGUAAGGUCCAUUAACGUGUGAGUCCUCUUGCUGGAAAUCAGGAGAUAUGUGGAAUGGAGAAUAAUGUGAUUCUGUUGGCAGGUGACAAUAUUUAAGUAUUGUUACGGUUUACAAGACCCUUUCACAUAUAUUAUCUUAACAGCUCUACCUCUUAUUGUAGCACACUCAGGCAGAAAAAAAAUAUGUUAAGGCUCCCUGCAAAGAACCCCACUAACCUGAUGGCCCGCUUGGGUCCCAGACCAAUCUUUCACAAUAGCUGAAGGAGUCCUCUAACUUUGUAAAAGAGUAAAAGGGUUUGUUGAGACUGGCAGAACCCAUUCUCUGGAGUGUAUAAUUUACAGUUUACCAGUUAAUUUAAAAUUAAGUACAUGUACCAAAAAUGACAAUUAUGAUAAAGUGGCUGUGGGAUCAGCUCCAAUCCCUCUUCACCAGAGAACCGGUAAAACCCUUAGCAGCUUGAGCUCCGGCCAGAUUCUUCCCUUUCAUCGACCUGUGUCUGCACCAGUUGCUGAUCCUUUGUGUCUGCUAUUAUGUCCUUCAUCCCAAGUAAAUCACUGACUUUAGGGAGGGAAAGUACGAAAAAGGCUUAUGGAAAACUCAGAUUUUCCGAUGGAAAGUACUCAAAGUUUAGACCAAGUUCAGGAUCUUCAUAAUUAUAUAAUGAGGGUUCUAGUGCCCACUCUUUCUAAUUGACAGGAACUCUGGUUUAUGCAGUGCUGCAUGGAAAUUCAUGACUCUGUUAACCAGAAAUCUGGCAAUCCAGGCUUCACAUCCUGUUUCCCCACCCACUUGAUUGAAACUAUUUUCCAACUGGCCUCCAUUGUACUCCAAAUCACCAAAAGCUAGGACAGUGAAUGUUGUGGGAUUGUUAACAAGGUAGUCUCAACCAUGGCAUUCUGCGACAUCAUUUCUGCUGGCUUAAUCCUGAGAAUGUCCAGGAAAUACAAUAAUCCUAUUUUGUUUCCCUACAAAAAUAGUCCAUAUGUGCCAGGCCCAUGGUUCACAAUAGGAGGUAACUGAAAUCUGCUGCAGUCCAUCAGUUGAAAAGCCUGUGCCUGCUACUGUCUACAGUGAAUUUUGUUUGAAUUAAGAGAGACUCUGCCCAGGUUGGCACUUGACAUUCAGUAAAAAAAUUAUCUUGAGCUUUAUGAGUUUAGGGAACUUGUUUUAAUGAUCUGAUUUUUAGCAGAGGAGAGCUUUAGAUCAUCUAGUCUUAGGUGUUUUUGAAAUGUAAAUGUGCAGAGACAAAUCUUAUUUGUUUUUGAGUGUUAAAUGCAUUAUUGAGAACAUGAAUGUUUCCGGCCUCCGGUGGGUUUGCUUUCUUUCUUGGGCAAUAGACCAGUCCUCCGACUCCACUAUUUGCUAGAGAAAAACCAAUUUCACUUCUGGCAAUAGAGUUCUUGGACAGAUUUGAUUUUCUCUUGAUGAAAAUUAAUAUUCGGCUGGGCAUGGCGGCUCACAGCAGUAAGCCCAGCACUUUGGAAGGCUGAGAUGGGUAGAUCGCUUGAAGCCAGGAGUUUGAGACCGGCCUGGGCAACGUGUGGAAACCCCGUGUUUACUAAAAAUACAAAAAUUAGCUGGGUGUGGUGGUGGGCACCUGUAGUCCCAGCUACUUGGGAGGCUGAGCCAGAA